RNAcentral lists this ribosomal RNA (854 nucleotides) under Salmonella enterica subsp. enterica serovar Blockley. RNAcentral describes it as "partial 23S ribosomal RNA". It matches the Rfam family "Bacterial large subunit ribosomal RNA", at positions 1 to 888 of the family's 2925-position model. Lineage: Bacteria; Pseudomonadati; Pseudomonadota; Gammaproteobacteria; Enterobacterales; Enterobacteriaceae. The record is from RNAcentral.
GGGUUGUGAGGUUAAGCGACUAAGCGUACACGGUGGAUGCCCUGGCAGUCAGAGGCGAUGAAGGACGUGCUAAUCUGCGAUAAGCGCCGGUAAGGUGAUAUGAACCGUUAUAACCGGCGAUUUCCGAAUGGGGAAACCCAGUGUGAUUCGUCACACUAUCAUUAACUGAAUCCAUAGGUUAAUGAGGCGAACCGGGGGAACUGAAACAUCUAAGUACCCCGAGGAAAAGAAAUCAACCGAGAUUCCCCCAGUAGCGGCGAGCGAACGGGGAGGAGCCCAGAGCCUGAAUCAGCAUGUGUGUUAGUGGAAGCGUCUGGAAAGGCGCGCGAUACAGGGUGACAGCCCCGUACACAAAAGCGCAUGUGCUGUGAGCUCGAUGAGUAGGGCGGGACACGUGGUAUCCUGUCUGAAUAUGGGGGGACCAUCCUCCAAGGCUAAAUACUCCUGACUGACCGAUAGUGAACCAGUACCGUGAGGGAAAGGCGAAAAGAACCCCGGCGAGGGGAGUGAAAAAGAACCUGAAACCGUGUACGUACAAGCAGUGGGAGCACCCUUUUGGGUGUGACUGCGUACCUUUUGUAUAAUGGGUCAGCGACUUAUAUUCUGUAGCAAGGUUAACCGAAUAGGGGAGCCGGAGGGAAACCGAGUCUUAAUUGGGCGUUAAGUUGCAGGGUAUAGACCCGAAACCCGGUGAUCUAGCCAUGGGCAGGUUGAAGGUUGGGUAACACUAACUGGAGGACCGAACCGACUAAUGUUGAAAAAUUAGCGGAUGACCUGUGGCUGGGGGUGAAAGGCCAAUCAAACCGGGAGAUAGCUGGUUCUCCCCGAAAGCUAUUUAGGUAGCGCCUCGUGAA